UUCGAUUCUGGCUCAGGAUGAACGCUAGCGACAGGCUAACACAUGCAAGUCGAGGGGCAGCACGGGAGUAGCAAUACUUGGUGGCGACCGGCGCACGGGUGAGUAACGCGUAUGCAACUACCUAUCAGAGGGGAAUAACCGGCGAAAGUCGGACUAAUACCGCAUAAAACAGGGGCACCGCAUGGUGAUAUUUGUUAAAGAAAUUCGCUGAUAGAUGGGCAUGCGUUCCAUUAGGUAGUUGGUGAGGUAACGGCUCACCAAGCCGACGAUGGAUAGGGGAACUGAGAGGUUGGUCCCCCACACUGGUACUGAGACACGGACCAGACUCCUACGGGAGGCAGCAGUGAGGAAUAUUGGUCAAUGGGCGGGAGCCUGAACCAGCCAAGUCGCGUGAAGGAAGAAGGAUCUAUGGUUCGUAAACUUCUUUUGCAGGGGAAUAAAGUGCAGGACGUGUCCUGUUUUGUAUGUACCCUGAGAAUAAGGAUCGGCUAACUCCGUGCCAGCAGCCGC
RNAcentral lists this ribosomal RNA (510 nucleotides) under uncultured bacterium. Its description in RNAcentral is "bacterial SSU rRNA". It matches the Rfam family "Bacterial small subunit ribosomal RNA", at positions 12 to 518 of the family's 1533-position model. The record is from RNAcentral.